RNAcentral lists this ribosomal RNA (324 nucleotides) under uncultured eukaryote. Its description in RNAcentral is "partial 18S ribosomal RNA". It matches the Rfam family "Eukaryotic small subunit ribosomal RNA", at positions 1470 to 1796 of the family's 1831-position model. The record is from RNAcentral.
CCCUUAGAUGUCCUGGGCUGCACGCGCGCUACACUGAUGUGUCCAGUAAGCACCUAACCUCUUCCGAAAGGAACGGGUAACCUUUGCAAAGCACAUCGUGAUGGGGAUAGAUUAUUGCAAUUAUUAGUCUUGAACGAGGAAUUCCUAGUAAGCACAAGUCAUCAGCUUGUGUUGAUUACGUCCCUGCCCUUUGUACACACCGCCCGUCGCUCCUACCGAUUGAAUGUUCCGGUGAGCUCUUCGGACUGCGCGGUCUGCAGUUUCUGCGUUCCGUGCGGAAAGUUGCGCAAACCUUAACAUUUAGGGGAAGGAGAAGUCGUAACA